This 777-nucleotide ribosomal RNA is filed under the name uncultured Neocallimastigales. Its description in RNAcentral is "partial large subunit ribosomal RNA". It matches the Rfam family "Eukaryotic large subunit ribosomal RNA", at positions 23 to 635 of the family's 3401-position model. The record is from RNAcentral. Lineage: Eukaryota; Fungi; Neocallimastigomycota; Neocallimastigomycetes; Neocallimastigales.
AGAGAUGUGUGAUGACGCAUAUCAAUAAGCGGAGGAAAAGAAACUAACAAGGAUUCCCUUAGUAACGGCGAGUGAAGCGGGAAGAGCUCAAAUUUGAAAUCUUCAAGGUUCUACCUUGACGAAUUGUAGUUUAUAGAAGUGUUUUCUGUUAGUGGAGUGGCAAAAGUUCUUUGGAAUAGGACAUCAUAGAGGGUGAGAAUCCCGUAUUUGGUCAUUCCUCCUAGCGUUGUGAUACACUUUCAGCGAGUCGGAUUGUUUGGGAAUGCAGUCCAAAAUGGGUGGUAAAUUUCAUCUAAGGCUAAAUAUUGGCGAGAGACCGGUAGCGAACAAGUACCGUGAGGGAAAGAUGAAAAGAACUUUGAAAAGAGAGUUAAACAGUACGUGAAAUUGUCAAAAGGGAAGCGUUUGACACCAGUGUUGUUUUUCCGAAAAUCAAUUACGAAUGUUUUAUUUUUGAGGAGUUAUGACUUCAUCGGCUUGCUCCUUUCUUUAUGAAACUUUCUUAAUGCACUUUUCGGUUAACAAGUCAACAUCAAUUUCUUUUGUUGUAAAAGAGUAUGAGGAAGGUGGCUAUUCUUUUCGGAGAAAGUGUUUAUAGCCCUUGUACCUUCUGCAAUCGGAGAGAUUGAGGUCUGCAGCGUAGAUCCUUCGGGGUUAGAUACAUUUGUGCUAAGUUAUAGCUUUUCAUAGACAACUUGUUGACUAUGAUUAGUCUUGUAGCUUACUCGCUUAUGCUAUUUUACCUACGCUUAGGAUGUUGAAGAUGUAGCACAUCAU